UAACACGUGGGGAACCUGCCCCUAAGUCUGGGAUACCACUUGGAAACAGGUGCUAAUACCGGAUAAGAAAGCAGAUCGCAUGAUCAGCUUUUAAAAGGCGGCGUAAGCUGUCGCUAUGGGAUGGCCCCGCGGUGCAUUAGCUAGUUGGUAAGGUAAAGGCUUACCAAGGCGAUGAUGCAUAGCCGAGUUGAGAGACUGAUCGGCCACAUUGGGACUGAGACACGGCCCAAACUCCUACGGGAGGCAGCAGUU
RNAcentral lists this ribosomal RNA (252 nucleotides) under uncultured Lactobacillus sp. Its description in RNAcentral is "partial 16S ribosomal RNA". It matches the Rfam family "Bacterial small subunit ribosomal RNA", at positions 111 to 355 of the family's 1533-position model. Lineage: Bacteria; Bacillati; Bacillota; Bacilli; Lactobacillales; Lactobacillaceae. The record is from RNAcentral.